AGGACGAACGCCGGCGGCGUGCUUAACACAUGCAAGUCGAGCGGUAAGGCCUUUCGGGGUACACGAGCGGCGAACGGGUGAGUAACACGUGGGUGAUCUGCCCUGCACUCUGGGAUAAGCCUGGGAAACUGGGUCUAAUACCGGAUAUGACCUGCUCUCGCAUGGGGGGUGGUGGAAAGAUUUAUCGGUGCAGGAUGGGCCCGCGGCCUAUCAGCUUGUUGGUGGGGUAAUGGCCUACCAAGGCGACGACGGGUAGCCGACCUGAGAGGGUGACCGGCCACACUGGGACUGAGACACGGCCCAGACUCCUACGGGAGGCAGCAGUGGGGAAUAUGCACAAUGGGCGAAAGCCUGAUGCAGCGACGCCGCGUGAGGAUGAAGGCCUUCGGGUUGUAAACCUCUUUCAGCAGGACGAAGCGCAAGUGACGGUACUGCAGAAGAAGCACGGCUAACACGUGCCAGCAGCCGC
This 469-nucleotide ribosomal RNA is filed under the name uncultured soil bacterium. RNAcentral describes it as "bacterial SSU rRNA". It matches the Rfam family "Bacterial small subunit ribosomal RNA", at positions 26 to 518 of the family's 1533-position model. The record is from RNAcentral.